AGGGCACCACCAGGAGUGGAGCCUGCGGCUUAAUUUGACUCAACACGGGGAAACUCACCCGGCCCGGACACCAUAAGGAUUGACAGAUUGAUAGCUUUUUCAUGAUUUGGUGGAUGGUGGUGCAUGGCCGUUCUUAGUUCGUGGAGCGAUUUGUCUGGUUUAUUCCGAUAACGAGCGAGACUCUAGCCUACUAAAUAGUCUGCACAUUGCUUCUGUGUUGCAGUACUUCUUAGAGGGAUUUUCGGCGUACAGCCGCACGAGAUUGAGCAAUAACAGGUCUGUGAUGCCCUUAGAUGUCCGGGGCUGCACGCGCGCUACACUGGCGAAAUCAGCGUGCUUGUCCUUGCUCGAAAGAGCUUGGUAAACCAAUGAAAAUUUGCCGUGAUUGGGAUCGGAAAUUGCAAUUAUUUUCCGUGAACGAGGAAUUCCAAGUAAAUGCGAGUCAUCAACUCGCGUUGAUUACGUCCCUGCCCUUUGUACACACCGCCCGUCGCUGCCCGGGACUGAGCCAUUUCGAGA
Molecule: ribosomal RNA, 519 nt
Filed under: uncultured eukaryote
Lineage: Eukaryota
Description: SSU rRNA
Rfam family: Eukaryotic small subunit ribosomal RNA
Source: RNAcentral